This 254-nucleotide ribosomal RNA is filed under the name uncultured bacterium. RNAcentral's name for it is "partial 16S ribosomal RNA". It matches the Rfam family "Bacterial small subunit ribosomal RNA", at positions 524 to 776 of the family's 1533-position model. The record is from RNAcentral.
UACGUAGGGGGCAAGCGUUGUCCGGAUUUACUGGGCGUAAAGGGCGCGUAGGCGGCCACCGCAAGUCAGUUGUGAAAUCUCUGGGCUUAACCCAGAAAGGUCAACUGAUACUGCGGGGCUAGAGUGCAGAAGGGGCAACUGGAAUUCUCGGUGUAGCGGUGAAAUGCGUAGAUAUCGAGAGGAACACCUGCGGCGAAGGCGGGUUGCUGGGCUGACACUGACGCUGAUGCGCGAAAGCUAGGGGAGCGAACGGG